CUCUACAUUCGGGCUGGGGUGCCCAAACCUGCCUCUCUGGGAAGCUUCAGGGUCACCAAGGGAGGAGAAAGAGUUAAAGGACCACGCCUGGCUCUGCAAGUUUUUGCUGAGAUGCGACCCCCAUCACCUGCCAAGGCAUGUCACAGACAAAGCAUGCCAUAGGUCACUCCUGAGUUAGAGAGUGGGCAUGUUUCAUCCCCGCAGAGCAGGCAUUUCAGAGAAGGAAGCUGGGAUAGCUAGCAAACAAUCACAUGACAUACCACAUGCUGAAAGGGCAGACUCUAGCAGACUGAGAAAAAAGCAGGCUGUUGUUGGAGACAGGAGAUCAAGACUUUGGAGGAUGAUUGGCCAGUGGAAAUUUCCCAGAGUGGAUUCACCAAAAGAGCAGGUGUGCUCCUGUCUUCCUUUUUAAGUGCUGUUCAUUUUGCUCUACAGUGCACUCCUGCUACUUCCUGCACAUUUGCUGAAGUCCAGCACACACACAAAAUCUUUAUUGUACCUUGGUCCAGCAGAUGUCCUGGGAACACUGAGAUACACGCCUCCCACUCUGGCCCUGAAGAAGCUGUGCAAGAAUAAGACCAUCUAUCGAAUGUCGCCUGUGGCCCAGGCUGGGGACACACAGGGAUGUGCAGUCAGGGACUUCUGAAAUGUCAGUCAUUGAAAGCAGAGGCUCAAAGAACAGAAACGUGUGAGAGGAGAUUUGAGACCCUGACUACAACAGUGAGACAUUUCCCUGCCUCCAUGACUGUUAGCUCCAAACUCAGCCUCAGCUUUCAGGACCUCUGUGGAAUGUCACUCUCAUCCAUUUCAUCAAUGACAAUGUGUUCACCCGGAGGGGUGAGCAAGGAGUGACCAAUCACAUGUACACUCCAGAGGGCAGAGAUCAACAGUUCAAGACUGAGGACCUGCCACAUCCACAGAUAUGUUGGAGAUGAGGAUUUGCAGCCCACAUACUUCAAAAAUGCCAACAUCCUGCCUACAGCUGGCACAUCCACUGCUGUCACACACCUGCAUGAGUACUGGCACUGUGGCCUGAGGCCCAUCCUGUUACACCAGUGACAACCAGAACUUCUGCCUGGUGCAAGUCAUCAAGCUGCAGCCCACAGCAUGCUGGUUCCAUGCACCGGUCUCCCAACAGGCACAAAUAAAAGAACCUGGACUGUUCUCUGAAA
This is a long non-coding RNA of Chinchilla lanigera (long-tailed chinchilla), 1172 nucleotides long. RefSeq lists it as uncharacterized. Lineage: Eukaryota; Metazoa; Chordata; Mammalia; Rodentia; Chinchillidae. The record is from RefSeq and is a predicted model, not a curated record. The transcript has 4 exons.